Molecule: ribosomal RNA, 648 nt
Filed under: uncultured Bacteroidota bacterium
Lineage: Bacteria; Pseudomonadati; Bacteroidota
Description: bacterial SSU rRNA
Rfam family: Bacterial small subunit ribosomal RNA
Source: RNAcentral
CAGUUGAGCGAGAUAAGUUGUAGCAAUACGGCUUUGAAAGCGGCGCACGGGUGCGUAACACGUAUGCAACCUACCUUUUACUAAGGAAUAGCCUCUCGAAAGAGAGAUUAAUACCUUAUAACAUGUUUUGAAGGCAUCUUCAGAACCUUAAAGCUCCGGCGGUAAAAGAUGGGCAUGCGGUUGAUUAGCUAGUUGGUGAGGUAAUGGCUCACCAAGGCUUCGAUCAAUAGGGGGUCUGAGAGGAUGUCCCCCCACACUGGUACUGAGACACGGACCAGACUCCUACGGGAGGCAGCAGUAGGGAAUAUUGGACAAUGGGCGCAAGCCUGAUCCAGCCAUGCCGCGUGCAGGAUGAAGGCCCUAUGGGUCGUAAACUGCUUUUGUACGGGAAGAAACCUCACUACGUGUAGUGAGUUGACGGUACCGUGAGAAUAAGGAUCGGCUAACUUCGUGCCAGCAGCCGCGGUAAUACGAAGGAUCCAAGCGUUGUCCGGAUUUACUGGGUUUAAAGGGUGCGUAGGCGGACUUUUAAGUCAGUGGUGAAAGCUCGCAGCUUAACUGUGAAAUUGCCAUUGAAACUGAAAGUCUCGAGUGUGGUUGAGGUAACUGGAAUAUAUCAUGUAGCGGUGAAAUGCUUAGAUAUGAUAU